Molecule: ribosomal RNA, 253 nt
Filed under: uncultured bacterium
Lineage: Bacteria
Description: partial 16S ribosomal RNA
Rfam family: Bacterial small subunit ribosomal RNA
Source: RNAcentral
UACGGGGGGUGCGAGCGUUGUCCGGAAUCACUGGGCGUAAAGAGCGUGUAGGCGGCCGUACAGGUCAGCUGUGAAAACUCGAGGCUCAACCUCGAGACGUCGGUUGAAACCGUACGGCUAGAGUCCGGAAGAGGAGAGCGGAAUUCCCGGUGUAGCGGUGAAAUGCGCAGAUAUCGGGAAGAACACCCGUGGCGAAGGCGGCUCUCUGGGACGGUACUGACGCUGAGACGCGAAAGCGUGGGGAGCGAACAGG